GUCCAGUUGAGUUUGGGAGGAGAUUAUUCUUCUGCACAGUUUCAAGAAACUUGUCAGGUGUGGAGUGGAAAUUCUUUGUGCUGAACAAACUAGAGACGCUGCAGACAGAGAAACAGUCCAUCCUGGUCCUCCUGUUACUCACAACUUGUUGAGAGUCGUUCUGGAACACGUCUGAACACGCAUCAGGUUUGAUCUCAUUCAGGUGAAGGUAGAAAGUGUGUGUGAGCUGAUGUGGAUGUGAAUUCAGCAGC
This is a long non-coding RNA of Oreochromis aureus, 251 nucleotides long. RefSeq lists it as uncharacterized. The transcript has 4 exons. The record is from RefSeq and is a predicted model, not a curated record. Lineage: Eukaryota; Metazoa; Chordata; Actinopteri; Cichliformes; Cichlidae.